CUGCUGCCUUCCGUAGGAGUCUGGUCCGUGUCUCAGUACCAGUGUGGGGGACCUUCCUCUCAGAACCCCUACGCAUCGUCGCCACGGUGGGCCGUUACCCCGCCGUCUAGCUAAUGCGCCGCAUGCCCAUCCUCUUCCGAUGAAUCCUUCCUCGAUCUCGGAUGCCCGAAACCGAUAUACGCGGGAUUAGCCUCCCUUUCGGAAGGUUGUCCCCCUGAAGAGGGCAGGUUGCAUACGUGUUACUCACCCGUGCGCCGGUCGCCGG
This 265-nucleotide ribosomal RNA is filed under the name uncultured bacterium. RNAcentral's name for it is "partial 16S ribosomal RNA". The record is from RNAcentral.